AUGAAACACUCCUACGGGAGGCAGCAGUGGGGAAUAUUGGACAAUGGGGGGAACCCUGAUCCAGCCAUGCCGCGUGUGUGAAGAAGGCCUUAUGGUUGUAAAGCACUUUAAGCGAGGAGGAGGCUCUUUUGGUUAAUACCCAAGAUGAGUGGACGUUACUCGCAGAAUAAGCACCGGCUAACUCUGUGCCAGCAGCCGCGGUAAUACAGAGGGUGCGAGCGUUAAUCGGAAUUACUGGGCGUAAAGCGUGCGUAGGCGGCUUUUUAAGUCGGAUGUGAAAUCCCCGAGCUUAACUUGGGAAUUGCAUUCGAUACUGGGAAGCUAGAGUAUGGGAGAGGAUGGUAGAAUUCCAGGUGUAGCGGUGAAAUGCGUAGAGAUCUGGAGGAAUACCGAUGGCGAAGGCAGCCAUCUGGCCUAAUACUGACGCUGAGGUACGAAAGCAUGGGGAGCAAACAGGAUUAGAUACCCCAGUAGUCCGAAGUUC
Molecule: ribosomal RNA, 484 nt
Filed under: uncultured bacterium
Lineage: Bacteria
Description: bacterial SSU rRNA
Rfam family: Bacterial small subunit ribosomal RNA
Source: RNAcentral